UACCCCGGGAUAUGGGGAUUGUUCCUAUUUAGUUAGUGAAUAGGGAUGUUUAUGAUGUGUCCUAUAGGAAGGAGUACAUAUGAUAUCCUACAGGUGUGAUAUAUCCUACAGGUGUGAUAUAUCCUACAGGUGUGAUAUAUCCUACAGGUGUGAUAUGUCCUACAGGUGUGAUAUGUCCUACAGGUGUGAUAUGUCCUACAGGUGUGAUGUCCUACAGGUGUGAUGUCCUACAGGUGUGAUGUCCUACAGGUGUGAUGUCCUACAGGUGUGAUAUAUCCUACAGGUGUGAUAUAUCCUACAGGUGUGAUGUCCUACAGGUGUGAUAUCCUACAGGUGUGAUAUCCUACAGGUAGGAGUACAUAUGAUAUCCUAUAGGUAGGAGUACAUAUGAUAUCCUAUAGGUAGGAGUA
Molecule: long non-coding RNA, 410 nt
Organism: Oncorhynchus tshawytscha (Chinook salmon)
Lineage: Eukaryota; Metazoa; Chordata; Actinopteri; Salmoniformes; Salmonidae
Exons: 2
Source: RefSeq, a predicted model, not a curated record